AACCAGUGAUGGUGUGAAGUAAGUCUGGGGGAGGCGAUUGUGUGAAACUAAUCUCCCUUCUGUUUCUUUUGGCUUUUAUGUUUGAGUCAGUCCUUGUGUUUCAUCGAGUCAGUCCAAACUCUUGUGGGAAUUAGGACCCUAUUCUGUGAUGAUCUUUUAACCACCUCGUGCUUUAACUUUCUUAUUUAGUGACCUUAGCAGUGACGAAAGACUCACACUUGGACCUGGAUGAAUCCUGACUUAUCUCACUUGACUCUCCUGAAGUUUUCAGUCGAUCAGGUUACAGUGGGUAGACUUAACUCAAUCUAACUUGAACCAAAUUUUGACUGCAAUUUCCUCUUGUUAUGGGCAUUAGAUCAGGGAAACGAGAUCCACACUCAGGACUUCUUACUCUUUUUACCAAUCUUGCUGAUCCUGAGUGG
RNAcentral lists this long non-coding RNA (422 nucleotides) under Brassica napus (rape). RNAcentral describes it as "long non-coding RNA (BNAP_LNC015816)". The record is from RNAcentral. Lineage: Eukaryota; Viridiplantae; Streptophyta; Magnoliopsida; Brassicales; Brassicaceae.